GGGAGAGACUACACGGGGCCCCGCGGGACACCCUCCGCCCACCUGGCGCUUGGAAGCGCCAUCCGAGGGGACCGGGACGAGAUCGGACUCGCAGGCGGCCGGUGGUGCGCCCUCGCCCGCCUGCGGUCCGGAGCCGGCCCGGUUGUCUAGCGCCACCUGGCGCCCGCCUCUCUAGCCUUUUCCCCCGGAGCUCCGCAAGACUAGCGACGGCUGGGAUUCGGCCGCAGUCAGCGCCGCAGAGUUCCAGGGGGCCGGCAGCGCCAGCAGGAUGUGCUGGGCGGUGCCACGGCGUCGGCGGGUCUUGCCUUCGCUGGGGAUUGGGCGAGUAGGUCUCUUAGGGAGGCUGUCGUCGCGUCUCCGGCAGGGCUUGUGGGGCUGCCCAGACGGGUCGACCAGCACACGCCGCUCGCCCCCUGUCGGCUCCCGGGAAGCGACCGCGACCGUGGCGGCCCCCACUGCUAUCCAGCUAUCUAGUGGAUCUUCUGGACCAGCCACCAGGUCACACCCAGCUGGUGACAAUGUCACCAGGAGGAUCCCAGGAUGCCACUAGGAUGAUCCCACCCUGCAGACGGCCUCCCAAAGUCAAUCUCUGGCAGAGCAUUCAGGUCCACCCCCACGAAUGUUUCCCGGGGAGCUCUGGGGAAAUCUCAGAACUGCUGACAGGUAACGCACUACGACCUAGUAAGUCGUCACUGGAUGGAUUGAGGAUAGGAGGUGAGGGGAACACAUGGCCAGGUGGGACCACAGUCUUCUAGAGUCUCAUCAUUAGAAAGACAGGGAGGCCCUGGGAGGUCUUCUGCGCGGUCCCUUGCCUCUGCCAUGCCACGUUGCCUCCACUGCUAGGGAGAGGGGACUUAUAGUAAAUCUGACGUUCCCAUGACUGGGAUCCACCACUGUCGUGCUACUGCUGCUCUCCCAACCCCCGGGGGGAGGCCCCACCUCCAGAUAAGUUGUGGAAAGAUCGGGAAACGAAAGGACCACUGGGACCCACGAAGGAGGGCAUAGGGCUUGGACACUGUCUUCCAUUGGCCUGUGGCAGUCCUUUUAGGUCCCCCUGUAGGCAGAGGGGCGCCAGAGCCUGCUGGUUGACCAACACAUGCCAACCCCUAACAACCUCAGAGCACAGUGUGGGCCACACAGCGCACACUCCCACACAUCCAACUGGGGCAAAUGUGCCAACACCACGGCACAGCCUCCUGGAAGCUGCUUCCCACGCCGCGAAUCCCAUCCCUUGCUAAUUUCACCAGCGCUCUGGAGGAACUAGUUACAUAAAAGUACACAGCAGGUGUUGCCUGACAAUUGGUGACA
This 1308-nucleotide long non-coding RNA is filed under the name Felis catus (domestic cat). Its description in RNAcentral is "lncRNA (ENSFCAG00000041091.2)". The record is from RNAcentral. Lineage: Eukaryota; Metazoa; Chordata; Mammalia; Carnivora; Felidae.